Drosophila albomicans is the source of this 1244-nucleotide long non-coding RNA. RefSeq lists it as uncharacterized. NCBI's taxonomy places the organism in Eukaryota, Metazoa, Arthropoda, Insecta, Diptera, Drosophilidae. The record is from RefSeq and is a predicted model, not a curated record. The transcript has 4 exons.
UCACUAACAAAACAAAACAGCUGCCGCGCAAUUGGAAAAUUGCGCAAAAACAAAAGGAAAUUCAAAACAAACUAUUGACGACGAUAAGUACAAAGAAAAAAAGAAUAAUAAACUACUCACUGAUCCAUUUUGUGUUUGAAUAGGGCCUCAACUGGACCCCGGCGUACCCACCCUGCCUGAGAUGGCCACAUCGGCGCCAUCUCCCUUUCGUUGGCCACCACCUCAGUGGCUGCUCCUCAUCCGGCGUAGCGCUGUCGAAUCCCCCUCCCCUCCAUGCUGAGAAGACUCACACAACCAUGUUCAACGUAUAAUAUUAAUAUAUAUUCGAAUUUCAUUACAGCUACACGGAACAGUAUUUGAAGCAAAGGCAAAUAAAACAAACAAGGCGGAACAACAAAGAGAAUAAAAACGGAGUAGGGACAAUUAUAUAUGUCUUCACUUCAAUUUAAUCUAAUUUAAAUAUUGCUCUAGCCUUCAAAAUUAAGUUUUUGUGGUUUAGUUUUCAGGCUGAAUUACGAAUUCUUUGGAGUGAGAAAUCUACGAUCGCCGAUGACGGUCGUCAUCAGUCGGGAGUUGACGAUGUCGCAUUAAAAUUGGACAGGGAACGGCUUGGCGCCGCCGCACUAACUCACUCGGACAGGCUCCUCCUCUUGCUCGUCGCUGGAUGCGUCGUUCAGCGUUCGCUGUCCCACGCCGUCGAUGGCGCUCCUGUCGUUAAAGCGUCGUGUGUCUCGCGGAUGGUUGCCCGCACUUAUCCAGCGGUGAUUGUGGCCGCUGGUGUCGCUUGACCAAGUUCCUUCUCGCUCCCUCGCAGAUGGUUUGCUCCAGGUGGAGUUGGGUCACGAUCGACUGUCGCCCUCACACGAUUAAGUAGCUGAAGAUGCGAUGCUCUGCUGCUGCGGGUUUUUCUCGGCUGCCGUCGCGGCCCGAUUCGGAGUUGCUGGCGCUAUCGUUGUUGUUGUUGCUGCUCGAAGAAAGCGACUCGCGCCUUUGUUGAACCGGACUUGAGCUUCUUGAGCGUGGAGUAUUUGUUCUCGCCGGCCUUAAUCUGAGCCUCACUGAGUAUGUCCAGGCUGCUCUGGUUCUCCUCGAUCUUGUGCGGCGCUAUCUCUUUACUUAUUUUAAUACUUUCACGCACGUUGUUGCCGUUAAUGGUUGUUUGUAAUUGCUCACACUGUUGUUAGUUUACGAUCUUGUAACGGAAUUUCUUUUUAUAUACUAAACAAAUCUUAAAUUUUUGCGUA